GAUGAACGCUGGCGGCGUGCCUAAUACAUGCAAGUCGAGCGAACAGACGAGGAGCUUGCUCCUCUGACGUUAGCGGCGGACGGGUGAGUAACACGUGGAUAACCUACCUAUAAGACUGGGAUAACUUCGGGAAACCGGAGCUAAUACCGGAUAAUAUAUUGAACCGCAUGGUUCAAUAGUGAAAGACGGUUUUGCUGUCACUUAUAGAUGGAUCCGCGCCGCAUUAGCUAGUUGGUAAGGUAACGGCUUACCAAGGCAACGAUGCGUAGCCGACCUGAGAGGGUGAUCGGCCACACUGGAACUGAGACACGGUCCAGACUCCUACGGGAGGCAGCAGUAGGGACUCUUCCGCAAUGGGCGAAAGCUUGACGGAGCAACGCCGCGUGAGUGCUGAAGGUCUUCGGAUCGUAAAACUCUGUUAUUAGGGAAGAACAAAUGUGUAAGUAACUAUGCACGUCUUGACGGUACCUAAUCAGAAAGCAACGGCUAACUACGUG
Molecule: ribosomal RNA, 497 nt
Filed under: uncultured bacterium
Lineage: Bacteria
Description: partial 16S ribosomal RNA
Rfam family: Bacterial small subunit ribosomal RNA
Source: RNAcentral